Molecule: long non-coding RNA, 1242 nt
Organism: Saccostrea cuccullata (small rock oyster)
Lineage: Eukaryota; Metazoa; Mollusca; Bivalvia; Ostreida; Ostreidae
Exons: 5
Source: RefSeq, a predicted model, not a curated record
UUAAGAAUAUCGACAUGUAAAAGUAAAUAUGCUUAUACUUAAAGUUUAAGUACAUUUUUGGUAUUUUGAAUAUGUCAUAAAUAAUUCUUUAUACCUAAUGUAAACUUAUGUUGAAACAUUUUUGAAAAAAAAUAUUUAGGCACCCUAUUCAUUUUAAUUUAUUUAUUUCUCAUUUUUAUUUAUUUAACCCUUAUGUAGAUUUUUCAAAACUGUGGAAUAUAACUUAGUUUUUUCUCUAUCGACUACCACUGUAGUACAAUUACAUCGGGAUCGAAGUCGGGCUCGAAAAGCAAUUUAUUUAAAAACAACACACCGCGCCGAAAUUCAAUUUUUUGGAGAGUUCCACGCAGUCAUGUUGAACUUGAUCAUGAUGUUGUACGGGAGGAAGGGGCGAAAGAGAGUUACUCGAAAAGGAGAAGCACGAUAAACUUUGGAUGGAAUUUAUGUUUUAACAGAAGAUGAAGACAUUUACGACCCUGUUUAGCGGUAGGAACAAUGUACAAAAUUUUAUCAUGUGUCCUUGAAUGAAUAAUUGCCUCUGCUACUGAUAAUGUUACUGUUCCUUAGUCUGGGCUGUACACAUAAAAUGCCUGGCAGUAAAAACGUUUGGGCAAGCGCUAUUUACAUUUUGUAAUAAUUAUUUAACACUUUUAACCAUCUAACUUAAAGAUGGAUUUUAACCAGAAUUUUCUCGUUUGGGAUUGGUUUCAGAAUUUUUGUCACUUAAGUGUUCCUCUGUUCAGCAUUUACAGAGAGUGUUGUACAAUGUAAUAAAUUAUUUAUUUAUUUCUUAAUGCCUACUCAAGAAUAUAUUGAGCACUUAUUUUGAUUAUUUAAAUAGUUGCAGUGUGGACUGUGCCUGAGACGAUUCCCCAUAACGCCGGCUAUGUAGACAGCUUGUGAAAAUGGAAUCCAAAUGCUCACAAGAAAUGACAAAAGCAGUAUGAAGAUUAACACAACGAAAUUGUGCAAGAAAAGUUUGAAGUAGCUAUGAGAAUGAUCAACAUUGAACUUGCUGAGGCUCUCUUCCUGAAAGUGACUUGACCAGAUAUUUGGCUACCCAUAUCUUUCUGCUACAUUAAAUAAAAUAUCGUGGAGGAACACGAAGAAAAGGGCUGCGCACCUCAACAUAUUCAAGGUCAAGCAGCUUUUUACCAUAUCCAUAGUAUCUUGCUGCUAAAUGAAAGAAUUAGUGUGGAGGAGCAGAGAAAAGGGCACCUCAACAUGUUCAAGACCUAGGAG